RNAcentral lists this ribosomal RNA (468 nucleotides) under uncultured bacterium. Its description in RNAcentral is "partial 16S ribosomal RNA". It matches the Rfam family "Bacterial small subunit ribosomal RNA", at positions 28 to 507 of the family's 1533-position model. The record is from RNAcentral.
GACGAACGCUGGCGGCGUGCUUAACACAUGCAAGUCGAACGGAAAGGCCCUGCUUUUGUGGGGUGCUCGAGUGGCGAACGGGUGAGUAACACGUGAGUAACCUGCUCUAGACUUUGGGAUAACUUCAGGAAACUGGGGCUAAUACCGGAUAGGAGCUCCUGCUGCAUGGUGGGGGUUGGAAAGUUUCGGCGGUAGGGGAUGGACUCGCGGCUUAUCAGCUUGUUGGUGGGGUAGUGGCUUACCAAGGCUUUGACGGGUAGCCGGCCUGAGAGGGUGACCGGCCACAUUGGGACUGAGAUACGGCCCAGACUCCUACGGGAGGCAGCAGUGGGGAAUAUUGCACAAUGGGCGGAAGCCUGAUGCAGCGACGCCGCGUGCGGGAUGACGGCCUUCGGGUUGUAAACCGCUUUCGCCUGUGACGAAGCGUGAGUGACGGUAAUGGGUAAAGAAGCACCGGCUAACUACGUG